This 4227-nucleotide long non-coding RNA is filed under the name Pan troglodytes (chimpanzee). RNAcentral's name for it is "lincRNA". The stretch from base 459 to 535 matches the Rfam family "mir-34 microRNA precursor family". Lineage: Eukaryota; Metazoa; Chordata; Mammalia; Primates; Hominidae. The record is from RNAcentral.
GACCCCUCCCCCGCACCGACGUGAUUCGGAUCGCGCGGUGCUGGCGCCGCCUUCAUGCGCCCUGCCUGGCCCCCACCUGGUCCUCUUUCCUUUUCAGGUGGAGGAGAUGCCUCUGUCCCGUCGGUCUGGGGACAGCCCAGCUCCCCGGAUCCCGGGCUGGAGAGACGCGUCGCGGCCCCGGGGCCUGGUGGCACGAGCAGGAAGGAGGACCCGGCGGCGGGCUCUGCCUGGGCUUGCCUGGGCUUGUUCCGAGCCGGGCUGCUUCUCGGUGACCACGCAGAUCGGGGGCAUUUGGAGAUUUUGCGGGAGUCCUGCAGCCAAGCUCCGGGGCAGGAGAGGCCUGGAAGCCUGCACUACCUGCUCGCCCCGUCCCAGCAUGCACCCAGGUGCUGGGGAGAGGCAGGACAGGCCUGUCCCCCGAGUCCCCUCCGGAUGCCGUGGACCGGCCAGCUGUGAGUGUUUCUUUGGCAGUGUCUUAGCUGGUUGUUGUGAGCAAUAGUAAGGAAGCAAUCAGCAAGUAUACUGCCCUAGAAGUGCUGCACGUUGUGGGGCCCAAGAGGGAAGAUGAAGCGAGAGAUGCCCAGACCAGUGGGAGACGCCAGGACUUCGGAAGCUCUUCUGCGCCACGGUGGGUGGUGAGGGCGGCUGGGAAAGUGAGCUCCAGGGCCCCAGGAGCAGCCUGCUCGUGGGUGCGGAAGGAAAAAGGCACAGGGGCUUGGUGUGGGCGGCUUUUGGCUGGGAGAAGUUUGCACGUAGGGAGAAUAGUAGCCAGUGUUUGCAGAGCACUUACUAUGCAGGAAGGCCUGUCCUAAGUAUUCUAAGUGUAUUACAUCAUGAACAAGUGUCUGUGAUUAACCCCGUCUUGCAGAGAAGGAAACAGAAGUACAAACAGAAAAUGUAACUAAGCAUGCAAUUAAUAAAAAGGGACCAGGUUUUGAACGCAAGCAAUCUGGCUCAAGAAUCUGCGCCCAACCACCGGCUCCUGUUCUUAGAGAUGAACGUGGAGUCCUGGAGACUGCUCAACAUUGUGACUUGAUCGUGAGCAUACGCGCUCCCUGUCCCCAGGAGACAGAUUUCCAGUGCAAUCAUAGAAAGUGCCUGUGUGGGCUUCGGGAGAUGUGUCUGCCUUGGGGAGAAUUUUCCUUUUCAGCUACAGCCAGGCCCAGGAUAUUGACGUCAAUGAGACGCUGGUGACGUUCUCUGCUCCAGUGGCUGAUGAGAAAAGUUCCUCCAAGCCAGCUCAGUUGAGAAGAAUUAAGUUCUCUGGGUCCCACUGGCUUCACCUACAGAUGCCAACUUUGAGGCCAGUGAACUGUGAGGCCAGCUGGGCUGAUUGCCAUGGCAACAGGAAUUGGACCCAAGUCACCGGAGGAUGGAGAGGGAAGACACAGUGGUGGCUUCCCCAGGUCUUGGACCACAAGGCACAGCCGUGGCCUCCAGGAACCCUGAGAUAACCCGUUAGUGGGUCCUGCACUCCAACAGAGCUCGUGCAAUCAGCCUCUGGUCUUCACCCUCCUCCCAUUGGUGUCGUUGUGCUCUCUGACAUUGACAUUGAGCAGUGAGUGCUCCAGAUCUCGUUCCACUGAUUUUUUCCACUGUUCUCCAGUCUAGCACUUUCUGAAAUUCAUCCAAGCCUAAGAGGUGACACCAAAUGUCAGUGUCUUAUACCUCGGACCCCAUGGACUAAGACAAGCCUCUGGGGUCCAUGUGGCACCAAGGAUGGGGCCUUCUAGUACCUUUCACACAGGCCAGGGACAGCACCUGCUGUGACCCCCACCCCCAGCCUCUGCUGCUUCUCCCGUUGCCCUUCCAGCCACUGCCCUGGGCACCUCCCCUGCUCCCGCCUCCCUGCCUGGGCCCAUCUUUCUUUCCACCUCACCAAUUGCGGGGCUUCCUAGUGCUGGAGGGGAAGGGAGCCUGCUUCCAUUCUCACCACUCUGAAAGAAGACCCUGCAGAGAGGUUUUCUGGAAUUUGGAGCCUAACCUUGGCCUUGACACAGUCCAGAUGAGAAGGCCGUCCCCCAGUUAAGCCAGCCCUCCCUCCCUCUCAAUGCUGGAGAGGAAACCAGGCAGCUGGUUGCUUCAGCAAACCCCCUCCCUAUGGGAAUUGUCCUUUUCUUCCUCAAAUAGACUGGAGUGCAGAGGACUUGCUUCAGAGAGAGCCCCUUUGUAACGCACAUUGCACGGGCCGUGCCCCAUGCCCACUCUGCCACAAACUCCCCUCAGCUGCCCAGCCCCGUGGAGCCAGGCGUGGGCUGAAGUGGGGCCAAUGAAAUGCCUGGAAUGCCAGCCACAGUGACAGGCCAGCACUCAGAUGCCUCUCGGGAGUUCUGACCGAAGCAGCACUGAGGACCGCUUCAGAGCAGAAGUCUACGCCAUUUUCCCCAGUUUUAGGCAGAAGUAAAGAAUGUCUCUACCUUUUCCCAACCAACAAUUGAUUCAGAGUCCUGAGCUUUUAAAUUAAAGGGACCCCUCUGUUGCUUUAUGCAGUAGCCAGCUUAUUCAUUUGAGUUCAGGUGAAAUCAUUUUCAAGUAACCUCUUCCUAUCCAGCUUUACUUUUAGUGAUGCUGACAUAAAAACAAUAAAAAUUGUCCUCCUCAGAGUUCACCUGUAAAAGUUCCUGGAUAAUUAGUAAGGAAACAGAAAGAGCAGACAGUUGUUGCUUCAGAUAAAAGUGAUGUCUGGGUUGGGCACAGUGGGGCAUGCCUGUAAUCCCAGCACUUGGGGAGGCCCAGGUGGAUGGAUCGCUUGAGCUCAGGAGUUUCAGACCAGCCUGGGCAACAUCUCUACAAAAAAUACAAAAAUUAGCCAGGCAUAGUGGCAGGACUGUAGUCCCAGCUACUCAGGAGGCUGAGGUCAGGGGAUGGCUUGAGCCCAGGGGGCACAGAUUGAAGUGAGCUGAGAUUGCGCCACUGUAUUCCAGCCUAGGUGACAGAGCCAGACCUUGUCUCAAAAAAAAAAAAAAAAAAAAAAAAAAGUAAUGUCUUUGUGGUCAUUUAAUUUACUUCUGCAUUCUUUUUUUUUUUUUGAAAUGGGUAGUGGUUCCAUCUCGGCUCACUGCAACCUCUGCCUUGGGGGUUCAAGUGAUUCUCCUGCCUCAGCCUCCCGAGUAGCUGGGAUUACAGGCACCCGCCACCAUGCCCAGCUAAUUUUUGUAUUUUUAGUAGAGACGGGGCUUUGCCAUGUUGACCAGGCUGGACUCAAACUCCUGACCUCAGGUGAUCCGCCCACCUCGGCCUCCCAAAGCACUGGGAUUACAGGAAUGAGCCACUGCACUCGGCCUACUUCUGCAUUCCUUAGAGUACAUCCUAGCUAGGAUAUAUUCAGUUGUCUUUAGAGCUAACAGCAGAAGAAAGGUACUUAGAUGCUUAACUAGCUCUUUAUCUUUCUAGAAAUUCUAGAAGAUGAGAGGGGCAGUGGUGGCUCCAAGGGAGUGAUUUUAGGAUGGACUGGGACAGAGAGGGGCUGCUUACACAUACUCACACAGAGGCCAUUAAUUUAGGGAGUUCAAGGUCCAGGAGGUUGACGGCAUCUAGGCCUGUGGCAGAGUGCACUCCUGCUUUGGGGAAUGUAUGGGCAGAUUCUUGCCUGUAGUCGGAGGGUUAGAGAGAGGGAUCAAUAAUUUCAUGGUUGGACUUGAGUUUGGAAGCGAGUGGAGUUAGACACAAAUUCUGUGUUUUUGGAGAAAGUAUUUGAUCUUCUUGGCUGUGAGGCAAAGCGAGGUUUAAAAAUAUUUUUCACUUAAAAAAAUAUAUAUAUGCAUGUAUAUUUAAUACUGUCUAUGGAUUGUGCCAAUAUCUAUUUCAUGGUUUUGAUGUUGUGUAGUUAUACAAGGAGUUACCACUGAACGAAACUGGGGGAAGGGUACACAGAAUCUCUGUACUUUUUUUGUUGUUGUUGCAAUUUCCUGUAAAUCUAUGAUUAUUUUAAAAUAAAAAAGUUAAAGCAUACGUAUUUACAUUUGAUUAAAUGCAGUGUGAUAUCCUGGGUUGGAUUUUGGAACAAAACAAGGCAUGAGUGAAAAAACUGGUAAAAUCCAAAAAAGCCUUUAGUUAAAAGUAAUACCAGUGUUAAUUUCUUAGUUUUGACAAAUGUGCCAUGGCUGUGUAAGAUGCAAAUGUUAGAGGAAACUGGGCGAAGAAUUUGAGGGAACUCUCUGUACUAUUCUUUGCAGCUUUUCUGUAAAUCUACAAUUAUUCCAAAAUAAAAGUCUAUUAAAAAUGUAA